GUUGUUGGUUACACCACACCGGACUCUCUCUUAAGCUGCUUCUCUUCUUUGCUAUCGGCCGAGGCAGGCUUUAUAAGCCUGGUCGACGAGAAAGCCUGGGAUGUGAAUUCAGCUGCGCUCCCUUUUCGUAUGAGAAUUCCCAGGGUUCCAAUCCAUGCGCGAGACCAGCCCUCUUUUGGCUUGGACUAUGUCUCCCGUGGGCUGUAGGUAUUGGCAACGCCUUAAGUCGCUACACCCCGGUUUUCGAUACCCCAGUGGCUCUGUAGAGAUCGGGAUAUAUUUGCUGAACCUACUGCCCUUCCACCUAAAAGGAUCAUAGAUAGAAUCCCUUUGGCUCUCCACCUGUCAACCAGAGGCCUUACAGGUAUGCUAGCCUGCAGAAGGAUGUCCUGGAGAAACUAGUGAAUGAAAUCUGGGGAUCACCAUUCCACAUUGAUUCCGAG
Molecule: unclassified non-coding RNA, 443 nt
Filed under: Hevea brasiliensis (rubber tree)
Lineage: Eukaryota; Viridiplantae; Streptophyta; Magnoliopsida; Malpighiales; Euphorbiaceae
Source: RNAcentral